Molecule: ribosomal RNA, 1438 nt
Filed under: uncultured Bordetella sp.
Lineage: Bacteria; Pseudomonadati; Pseudomonadota; Betaproteobacteria; Burkholderiales; Alcaligenaceae
Description: partial 16S-23S ribosomal RNA intergenic spacer
Rfam family: Bacterial small subunit ribosomal RNA
Source: RNAcentral
GGUUCGAUCAUGGCUCAGAUUGAACGCUUCGGCGGGAUGCUUUACACAUGCAAGUCGAACGGCAGCACGGACUUCGGUCUGGUGGCGAGUGGCGAACGGGUGAGUAAUGUAUCGGAACGUGCCUAGUAGCGGGGGAUAACUACGCGAAAGCGUAGCUAAUACCACAUACGCCCUUCGGGGGAAAGCGGGGGACACGCUGGAGCCUCGCACUAUUAGAGCGGUAAGUAUCGGAUUAGCUAGUUGGUGGGGUAACGGCUCACCAGAGCGGCAAUCCGUAGCUGGUUUAGAGAGGACGACCAGCCACGCUGGGACUGAGACACGGCCCAGACUCCUACGGGAGGCAGCGGUGGGGAAUUUUGGACAAUGGGGAAACCUGAUCCAGCCAUCCCGCGUGUGUGAUGAAGGCCUUCGGGUUGUAAAGCACUUUUGGCAGGAAAGAAACGGCGGGAUAAUACCCCGUGCAACUGACAACCUGCAGAAUGGCACCGGCUAACUACGUGCCAGCAGCCGCGGUAAUACGUAGGGUGCAAGCGUUAAUCGGAAUUACUGGGCGUAAAGCGGCUGCGCAGGCGUUCGGAAAGAAAGAUGUGAAAUCCCAGAGCUUAACGGAACUGCAUUUUAACUACCGAGCUAGAGUGUGUCAGAGGGAGGUGGAAUUCCGCGUGUAGCAGUGAAAUGCGUAAAAUAUGCGGAGGAACACCGAUGGCGAAGGCAGCCUCACGGAUAACAACGCUCAUGCGAAAGCGUGGGGAGCAAACAGGAUUAGAUACCCUGGUAGUCCACGCCCUAAACGAUGUCAACUAGCUGUUGUUGGGGCCUUCGGGCCUUGGUAGCGCAGCUAACGCGUGAAGUUGACCGCCUGCCGCAGGAAGUACGGUCGCAAGAUUAAAACUCAAAGGAAUUGACAGGGACCCGCACAAGCGGUGGAUGAUGUGGAUUAAUUCGAUGCAACGCGAAAAACCUUACCUGCUUGACAUGUCUGGAAUCCCGAAGAGAUUUGGGAGUGCUCGCAGAGAACCGGAACACAGGUGCUGCACUAGUAUCGUCAGCUCAUGUCGUGAGAUGUUGGGUUAAGUCCACAACGAGCGCAACCCUUUAUCAUUAGUUGCUACGAAAGGGCACUCUAAUGAGACUGCCGGUGACAAACCGGAGGAAGGUGGGGAUGACGUCAAGUCCUCAUGGCCCUUAUGGGUAGGGCUUCACGUCAUACAAUGGUCGGGACAGAGGGUCGCCAGCCUUUUGCAGAGGGAGCCAAUCCCGAGAAACCCGAUCGUAGUCCGGAUCACAGUCUGCAACUCGACUGCGUGAAGUCGGAAUCGCUAGUAAUCGCGGAUCAGCAUGUCGCGGUGAAUACGUUCCCGGGUCUUGUACACACCGCCCGUCACACCAUGGGAGUGGGUUUUACCAGAAGUAGUUAGCCUAACCGUAAGGAGGGCGA